Molecule: long non-coding RNA, 438 nt
Filed under: Anas platyrhynchos platyrhynchos (common mallard)
Lineage: Eukaryota; Metazoa; Chordata; Aves; Anseriformes; Anatidae
Description: lncRNA (ENSAPLG00000023957.1)
Source: RNAcentral
UCUGUAGUCACUGCAAAGCUAAACCUGUGAAGAAGUACAACGCUGUUAACAAGCUGAGAGACCUCCAAGAACAUUUAGCAAGUGAGAAUUCAACAACUUCUCAAGGUUGAACCCAUUUCACCUGGAGUUUUCUGGAAUACCAGACUACCUAGUAAAAGAAUAAGGAAAGCCUUUAUUCCUUCCAUCCUCUCUUACAAAGAAACAGUCUUAGUAUCAGCAGUGUUUGUGUUCAAUACUUGAAGACUCUGGGGACAUAAAAAUCAAUUCUUGGCUCAAAGUCCAGCAAUAUUCUGUCUCAACAGAACUGUGCAAACUAGUGUGAUUACAGUGGUUAUGCUACCAGUUAGUCAACUACUACCAAACUGAGAGGGUGGAGAGGAAGGUAAGCAUUUCAUCUUCUAAGUCACAUUGCACUUUGCUUCUUUCAGUGUUUUGCCC